This is a non-coding RNA of Danionella cerebrum, 75 nucleotides long. The record is from the annotation of a GenBank genome assembly. NCBI's taxonomy places the organism in Eukaryota, Metazoa, Chordata, Actinopteri, Cypriniformes, Danionidae.
GCUUUCCUGUGGCUUAGUUGGUAGAGCACUGCUCUAACAACGCUAAGGUCAUAUGUUCAAAUCCCAGGGAAAGCA